This is a non-coding RNA of Ascaris suum (pig roundworm), 72 nucleotides long. NCBI's taxonomy places the organism in Eukaryota, Metazoa, Nematoda, Chromadorea, Rhabditida, Ascarididae. The record is from Rfam.
GAGUCCGUGGCGCAAUGGCAGCGCGUCUGAGUCCAGAUCAGAAGGCUCCGUGUUCAAAUCACGUCACGGUCA